CGGACGGGUGAGUAAUGUCUGGGAAACUGCCUGAUGGAGGGGGAUAACUACUGGAAACGGUAGCUAAUACCGCAUAACGUCGCAAGACCAAAGAGGGGGACUUUCGGGCCUCUUGCCAUCGGAUGUGCCCAGAUGGGAUUAGCUAGUAGGUGGGGUAACGGCUCACCUAGGCGACGAUCCCUAGCUGGUCUGAGAGGAUGACCAGCCACACUGGAACUGAGACACGGUCCAGACUCCUACGGGAGGCAGCAUG
Molecule: ribosomal RNA, 253 nt
Filed under: uncultured bacterium
Lineage: Bacteria
Description: partial 16S ribosomal RNA
Rfam family: Bacterial small subunit ribosomal RNA
Source: RNAcentral